This 465-nucleotide ribosomal RNA is filed under the name uncultured bacterium. Its description in RNAcentral is "partial 16S ribosomal RNA". It matches the Rfam family "Bacterial small subunit ribosomal RNA", at positions 28 to 507 of the family's 1533-position model. The record is from RNAcentral.
GACGAACGCUGGCGGCGUGCUUAACACAUGCAAGUCGAACGGAAAGGCCCUGCUUGCAGGGUCCUCGAGUGGCGAACGGGUGGGUAACACGUGGGUGAUCUGCCCUGCACUUCGUGAUAAGGCUGGGAGACUGGGUCCAAUAGCGGAUAGGAGACAUUUUUAGUGGGAUGGUUGGAAAGUUUUUUGGGUGUAGGAUGAGCUGGCGGCCUAUCAGCUUGUUGGUGGGGUAAUGGCCUACCAAGGCGGCGAGGGGUAGCCGGCCUGAGAGGGUGGACGGCCACAUUGGGACUGAGAUACGGCCCAGACGCCUACGGGAGGCAGCAGGGGGGAAUCUUGAACAAUGGGCGCAAGCCGGAUGCAGCGACGCCGCGGGGGGGAUGGCGGCCUUGGGGUUGUAAACACCUUUCGCUAGGGACGAAGCUUGUUGUGACGGUACCUAGAUAAGAAGCACCGGCUAACUACGUG